Molecule: ribosomal RNA, 977 nt
Filed under: human gut metagenome
Description: bacterial LSU rRNA
Rfam family: Bacterial large subunit ribosomal RNA
Source: RNAcentral
AAGGUAGCGAAAUUCCUUGUCGGGUAAGUUCCGACCUGCACGAAUGGCGUAACGACUUCCCCACUGUCUCGACCAGGAGCUCGGCGAAAUUGCAGUACGAGUAAAGAUGCUCGUUAAGCGCAGAAGGACGAAAAGACCCCGGGACCUUUACUAUACCUUGGUAUUGGCGUUAGGCGCGGAUUGUGUAGCAUAGGCGGGAGGCCGAGAGGCGCGGUCGCCAGAUCGCGCGGAGCCGUAAGGUGAAAUACCGCUCUGUUCGCAUUGGAUGUCUAACCUCGAACAGUCAUCCUGUUCAGGGACAGUGCCUGGCGGGUAGUUUAACUGGGGCGGUUGCCUCCCAAAGAGUAACGGAGGCGCUCAAAGGUCCGCUCAGCCCGGUUGGCAAUCGGGUUUCGAGUGUAAUCGCACAAGCGGGCUUGACUGCGAGAACGACGGUUCGGGCAGGGACGAAAGUCGGAGAUAGUGAUCCGGUGCCGGCGCACGGGCGCGGCAUCGCUCAACGGAUAAAAGGUACCCCGGGGAUAACAGGCUGAUCAUUCCCAAGAGUCCAUAUCGACGGGAUGGUUUGGCACCUCGAUGUCGGCUCGUCGCAUCCUGGGGCUGGAGCAGGUCCCAAGGGUUCGGCUGUUCGCCGAUUAAAGCGGCACGCGAGCUGGGUUCAGAACGUCGUGAGACAGUUUGGUCUCUAUCCUCUGCGCUCGUUGGAAUGCUGAGGAGGCCUGCCCAUAGUACGAGAGGACCUGGGUGGACGAACCUCUGGUAUGCCGGUUGUCACGCCAGUGGCACGGCCGGUUGGCUACGUUCGGAAGGGAUAACCGCUGAAAGCAUCUAAGCGGGAAGCCUGCUCCAAGAUAAGCAUUCCGUGGAACCUUCGAGUUCCUGUAGUCCCCAUGCAGAACACGUGGUCGAUAGGCCGGACGUGGAAGCCCCGCGAGGGGUGGAGCCGACCGGUACUAACGGACGAAAGGCAACACUAA